Molecule: ribosomal RNA, 1026 nt
Filed under: Salmonella enterica subsp. enterica serovar Kentucky
Lineage: Bacteria; Pseudomonadati; Pseudomonadota; Gammaproteobacteria; Enterobacterales; Enterobacteriaceae
Description: partial 23S ribosomal RNA
Rfam family: Bacterial large subunit ribosomal RNA
Source: RNAcentral
CAUCCUCCAAGGCUAAAUACUCCUGACUGACCGAUAGUGAACCAGUACCGUGAGGGAAAGGCGAAAAGAACCCCGGCGAGGGGAGUGAAAAAGAACCUGAAACCGUGUACGUACAAGCAGUGGGAGCCCCACCACCAAAGCAUUCUCUGGUGUUGAAGGCCCUGCAAAGCAGCAUCGCGGUGGCGGAGCGUCGUUUGCGACGCCCAACACACAAAACAAGCGGUGAGUGCUUUGGGGUGGGGUGACUGCGUACCUUUUGUAUAAUGGGUCAGCGACUUAUAUUCUGUAGCAAGGUUAACCGUAUAGGGGAGCCGUAGGGAAACCGAGUCUUAACCGGGCGUUAAGUUGCAGGGUAUAGACCCGAAACCCGGUGAUCUAGCCAUGGGCAGGUUGAAGGUUGGGUAACACUAACUGGAGGACCGAACCGACUAAUGUUGAAAAAUUAGCGGAUGACCUGUGGCUGGGGGUGAAAGGCCAAUCAAACCGGGAGAUAGCUGGUUCUCCCCGAAAGCUAUUUAGGUAGCGCCUCGUGAACUCAUCUCCGGGGGUAGAGCACUGUUUCGGCUAGGGGGCCAUCCCGGCUUACCAACCCGAUGCAAACUGCGAAUACCGGAGAAUGUUAUCACGGGAGACACACGGCGGGUGCUAACGUCCGUCGUGAAGAGGGAAACAACCCAGACCGCCAGCUAAGGUCCCAAAGUCAUGGUUAAGUGGGAAACGAUGUGGGAAGGCCCAGACAGCCAGGAUGUUGGCUUAGAAGCAGCCAUCAUUUAAAGAAAGCGUAAUAGCUCACUGGUCGAGUCGGCCUGCGCGGAAGAUGUAACGGGGCUAAACUGUGCACCGAAGCUGCGGCAGCGACGCUAUGCGUUGUUGGGUAGGGGAGCGUUCUGUAAGCCUGCGAAGGUGUCCUGUGAGGGAUGCUGGAGGUAUCAGAAGUGCGAAUGCUGACAUAAGUAACGAUAAUGCGGGUGAAAAGCCCGCUCGCCGGAAGACCAAGGGUUCCUGUCCAACGUUAAUCGGGGCAGG